Canis lupus familiaris (dog) is the source of this 2455-nucleotide long non-coding RNA. RefSeq lists it as uncharacterized. Lineage: Eukaryota; Metazoa; Chordata; Mammalia; Carnivora; Canidae. The transcript has 5 exons. The record is from RefSeq and is a predicted model, not a curated record.
UUACUCCAACUACAAAUAUCAAAUGAAUAGUCCCAAGCAUUCAACAAGCUCAAAUCUUAGCCAACUCUGCCCUCCCUGGUUCCUCAUAACUCCAAGGAGCCAGCAGCAGCCAUCAGUUUUGACUCAGAGCAUCUGGGCUGUGAGACACAUUCGCUCAGGUCAGCUGGCCCAGACCCCCCGGAGCCCCUGUCCCUCGCCUGGCUCCUCGCAGCCCCCUCAACCUGGAUCUAAUAGAAAUGACUUUUAUUUUAUAGUGUACUUAGCUCCAGGGGGCUUUACAGACAUAAUCUAAUUGAGGGGAGCAGAGGAGUGGGGUUGCAGGGAGCCAGUACUGUGUUUUUAAUUGGGAGGGAUGCUAGGCAAUGAAACUUAGGGAUGCUGCAAGCUCAUGCCAAGUGGCCUGCUGAGAACCAAGCCACCGAAGCAUCCGGGAGACAGAUCUUUGCUGAGGCCUCCUAUGUACCCCGCCUGCCUUACAGCUUCAAGGAGUUCAGAGGUGCGGGGCUUGGGCUCUGCCCUUACCUGGUAUGGAAGAUAAGGGCCCACGAACCAUAGGUUGGACAGAGCUUGGCUAGAGGCUGCUCUUUCCACCAGUCCAUCCUGCCCAGACCCCCACUGACCUUCUUCAAUGCCACCUGUUCCCCUCUGGCUUGGGCUAAAGGACCAGCUCUUUGCCUGGCAUUCCAGUCAUCUGACUCCCACCUGCCUUUCCGGCCUCCGUAGGAGGGUGUGUUUGUGUCUCUCACCAUUAGCCACUGUCUGUAGAUCCCCAGCCCGGGCUGGAGGCCCUCACCUGUGCGGUCACAGUGCUCCUUGGUGCAGGGGAGGGGCUGCCAUUUGCUCAAGGUCAGUUGGGAGGUGAGAGAGCUGGAUUCAUACCCCGCCUGACCUUUCCUCAUAACGUCGUAAAAGAAAGCUGAGCAUCCCCCCCUGGUUGGCAGGAGGUGGGCUCCAGCAGAGAAUAUUCCACCUUUGGAGGUGUGUGGGCUGGACGGCGUAACCUGGGCAGACAGAAGAGUGUGCGCAAAGGCUGAGCCAGGCCAGAGCUGUCCUUGUUGACCAGAUGGAAAGGAGGCUGGGGUGGCUGGGGUAGGGAGAGCCAGGGGACAGAGAAUGAGCUGGGGCCUUGAGAAGGGACAGGCCCGAGGGGUGAUAGGGCAGGCCCUGUGGGUAGAUCUGAGGGUGUGUCCCAGUGUACCGAAUGUUCUGGGCCAGCCUGAGGGCCUGGGCCCUCAUUAGCUGCUCCCCACUUGUCCUGUGAACCUGUCCAGCUGUGCCACCUUGCAGGCCACUUCUGUCCCACGCCUGGCACAGCUCCCUGCACAGAUGGGACAAUUAUAAAUGAGAGUUGAAUGACCAGACCUCUGAGGAUACUGUGACAUGGAGCUUUGGAAGCCUGGUCGGGCGCUUGCUGACCACCAGAAAAGAUGAAUCUCCACCAUUUGCCCACCAUUUGCUUCAAUGUGGAUGGAACUGGAGGGUAUUAUGCUGAGUGGAAUAAGUCAGUUGGGGCAGGCCAUUGCACACACAUUAUCUCCUUGGACUUAAUCCCCGAAACAGGCCCGUGAAGGAUGAGAACUCCUGCUUACUGAGCCCUGCUCUCUGCCAGAUGGUACAUCUGCGAGUUGGAUAGGUAAGGAACUCACCCAAGAUCUCGGCCCAGAGCUGGGGUUGCAAUCGGGCCUGUCUGGCUCCCCCACCAAGGUCUGGCCCACUGUUCCAGACCUUCUCCCAUUUGUCGAUGAGGAAGCUGAGGCUCUGGAGGCCCCAAGAUGCUGCCAGCCAGUGACUGGUGGGACGGGUCCAAAAAGAGGGCCCAGGAUGCUGGGAUGGGUAGAUGGACAAACCUGUGCCGAGUAGACUAGCCCACUGGCCAUUUGGAGGGGCUCCAUAAAUAUUUGUUGACUGACUAACAGAAAGGAAGGCCAGUCUGAGUUACAAAAUGUCCUGCAGAAGGAAAAUGCACUGAAGGAUAUUCAAAGAUGACACUAGGAGUCUCGGAGGACCUGCAGAAGGGAUAGGGAGUGGCUGUGUCAUCAGCGUCCUAAAGAUCCCAUCAGAAGGCACACUGAGACUUUUCUCUUGGGUCAGAGUGCUUAAAACCUGUCUCCUUAGUUAUCUCCAAGUAUCCUCCCUUGGACACUUGUUUGUAAGGAUCUGGAAUGUCAGCAGAUGAUGUCUGCUCACCAGCGGUGCGCUUCCGUUCUGCUCUCCUGGAAGGAGCUCUAGCUCCUGAUCUGAGGGGUUUGGGUUUCUAUUAGGAACUGCAGGGCCCUCCCAUGUGUUCACAUGUCUCACCUGAGCUUCCAGGCUGCCUGAAAACAGACCAGCGUCCUUUAUGCCAGGAGCCCAGUCUUCCAGCGUGGGGCUCUCCCGGGGCCUCGGGUGAGUUGGGCCAGUGGAUGGAGCUUGACCCCUCUGACCUCUGUGUCUACCUGCCCAGCCAGAGUAGAGG